UGGAAGUUUGAGCUUAUACCAGUAUUCCUAUAUUCUUGCCCUGUUCCUACCUUUUUCCCUGAGCAUUUGCCAUUUGUUACAGUUAGAGACAAGGCACCAGAUAGAUAGACCUUUGGUCUGACAUAGUAAGGCUCUUCUGAUGACUGACAUAAGGGAAAAUGAGGAAUUGCAUAUCUGUCAUGCCUGACAGUAAUAUGUUGUCGGAGGUUUCCAUGGAAGCAGCACAACAUAGUUCAGCAUCAACUGCUGCAUAAAUAAUGCCUUCAGAAUGCUCAAGCUGCAAAUUAUGAGAAAGACAGAGGAAAGUUCAGAUCACAAAUCAUACUCCAUGGCAGGGAGGACAGGAGAGAACUGCAAGGCAACAGCGGGGACACAGGAUGAUGCAGAGCUGGUCAGUGUCAGAUACUGAGGAUGUAGCAAGAGUGUCUUACCAGGGUGAAAAGGUCUGGGUUAGCACACAGAAAAUACCAUCCCAACAAGGAUUAAUUGAAGAGAU
RNAcentral lists this long non-coding RNA (496 nucleotides) under Anas platyrhynchos platyrhynchos (common mallard). Its description in RNAcentral is "lncRNA (ENSAPLG00000022317.1)". Lineage: Eukaryota; Metazoa; Chordata; Aves; Anseriformes; Anatidae. The record is from RNAcentral.